GACGAACGCUGGCGGCGUGCUUAACACAUGCAAGUCGAACGCUGAAGCUCAGCUUUUGUUGGGUGGAUGAGUGGCGAACGGGUGAGUAACACGUGAGUAACCUGCCCCCUUCUUUGGGAUAACGCCCGGAAACGGGUGCUAAUACUGGAUAUUCACUGGUCUUCGCAUGGGGGUUGGUGGAAAGGGUUUUUCUGGUGGGGGAUGGGCUCGCGGCCUAUCAGCUUGUUGGUGGGGUGAUGGCCUACCAAGGCUUUGACGGGUAGCCGGCCUGAGCGGGGGACCGGUCACAUUGGGACUGAGAUACGGCCCAGACUACUACGGGAGGCAGAAGUGGGGAAUAUUGCACAAUGGGCGCAAGACUGAUGCAGCGACGCCGCGUGAGGGAUGGAGGCCUUCGGGUUGUGAACCUCUUUCGAUAAUGGUCAAGCCGCAACAAUGGUUGUGGUGAGGGUAGUGGGUAAAGAAGCGCCGGCUAACUACGUG
Molecule: ribosomal RNA, 483 nt
Filed under: uncultured bacterium
Lineage: Bacteria
Description: partial 16S ribosomal RNA
Rfam family: Bacterial small subunit ribosomal RNA
Source: RNAcentral